AGAGUGAACGCUGGCGGCAGGCCUAACACAUGCAAGUCGAACGGCAGCACAGGAGAGCUUGCUCUCUGGGUGGCGAGUGGCGGACGGGUGAGGAAUACGUCGGAAUCUGCCUAUUUGUGGGGGAUAACGUAGGGAAACUUACGCUAAUACCGCAUACGACCUACGGGUGAAAGCGGAGGACCUUCGGGCUUCGCGCAGAUAGAUGAGCCGACGUCGGAUUAGCUAGUUGGCGGGUAAAGGCCCACAAGGCGACGAUCCGUAGCUGGUCUGAGAGGAUGAUCAGCCACACUGGAACUGAGACACGGUCAGACUCCUACGGGAGCAGCAGUGGGAAUAUUGGACAAUGGGCGCAAGCCUGAUCCAGCCAUGCCGCGUGUGUGAAGAACGCCGUUACGGUUGUAAGCUACGUUUUGGUUAGGGUAAGAAAAGCGUAACGUAGGUUAACUACCCGGUGUACAGUCGAACCGUAACCGAAAGAAUAAACGACCAACC
This 492-nucleotide ribosomal RNA is filed under the name uncultured soil bacterium. RNAcentral describes it as "bacterial SSU rRNA". It matches the Rfam family "Bacterial small subunit ribosomal RNA", at positions 26 to 502 of the family's 1533-position model. The record is from RNAcentral.